Molecule: ribosomal RNA, 305 nt
Filed under: uncultured bacterium
Lineage: Bacteria
Description: bacterial SSU rRNA
Rfam family: Bacterial small subunit ribosomal RNA
Source: RNAcentral
AUCCUACGGGAGGCAGCAGUAGGGAAUAUUGCUCAAUGGGGGAAACCCUGAAGCAGCAACGCCGCGUGGAGGAUGAAGGUUUUAGGAUUGUAAACUCCUUUUGUUAGAGAAGAUUAUGACGGUAUCUAACGAAUAAGCACCGGCUAACUCCGUGCCAGCAGCCGCGGUAAUACGUAGGGGGCAAGCGUUGUCCGGAAUGACUGGGCGUAAAGGGUGUGUAGGCGGUUUAUUAAGUUAGAAGGGAAAUACCUAGGGCUUAACCCAGGUGCUGCUUCUAAAACUGAUAGACUUGAGUGCAGUAGAGG